Molecule: long non-coding RNA, 317 nt
Organism: Zophobas morio
Lineage: Eukaryota; Metazoa; Arthropoda; Insecta; Coleoptera; Tenebrionidae
Exons: 4
Source: RefSeq, a predicted model, not a curated record
CUUUUUGAAAACGCCUUAAUUUUUGAACCUCUUUGGACUUCUUUAUUGAUAUUGGAUAUAUAUUAUUCUCUUUUACUAUUGUACCACGAAGAACCUUCUGCUUUUACUCCGCUUACAAAUUUCCUUUUUGAGGAAAACCUAAGAGGCUUAGGGACUUUCUGCUGAAUGUCUUAUUUUCAUUAUGGCUUACUUGACUGUUUACAUUCUCUUGUUUUACUAAGUUUUGAACUUACUAACGCAGCCCACGAAAGCGUCCUUCAAGCAGGCACGCAUCCCGAUUUUUACGUUUUAUUGGUCAUUCCAGCGGUUGCUAGAGC